CAAAAUAUAGCUUAAAUAAAGCAUUUUGUUUACACCAAAAAAAUAUUUGUCAAACAAAUUAUUUUGA
RNAcentral lists this transfer RNA (67 nucleotides) under Desmognathus ochrophaeus (Allegheny mountain salamander). Its description in RNAcentral is "tRNA-Val". The record is from RNAcentral. Lineage: Eukaryota; Metazoa; Chordata; Amphibia; Caudata; Plethodontidae.